This 504-nucleotide ribosomal RNA is filed under the name uncultured organism. RNAcentral's name for it is "bacterial SSU rRNA". It matches the Rfam family "Bacterial small subunit ribosomal RNA", at positions 28 to 507 of the family's 1533-position model. The record is from RNAcentral.
GACGAACGCUGGCGGCGUGCCUAACACAUGCAAGUCGAACGGAGUUGCGUGAAGCACAGAGUGCUUUGCAGAGGAUGCGGAGCACCGUGUGCUUUGCGCAGCUUAGUGGCGGACGGGUGAGUAACGCGUGAGCAAUCUGCCUUUCAGUGGGGGAUACCGACGGGAAACUGUCGCUAAUACCGCAUAAUGUAUUUAGGGGGCAUCUCCUGAAUACCAAAGGAGCAAUUUGCUGAAAGAUGAGCUCGCGUCUGAUUAGAUAGUUGGCGGGGUAACGGCCCACCAAGUCGACGAUCAGUAGCCGGACUGAGAGGUUGAACGGCCACAUUGGGACUGAGAUACGGCCCAGACUCCUACGGGAGGCAGCAGUGGGGAAUAUUGGGCAAUGGGCGAAAGCCUGACCCAGCAACGCCGCGUGAAGGAAGAAGGCCCUCGGGUUGUAAACUUCUUUGACGAGGGAAGAAAUAAAUGACGGUACCUCGAAAACAAGCCACGGCUAACUACGUG